GACGAACGCUGGCGGCGUGCUUAACACAUGCAAGUCGAACGGAAAGGCCCUGCUUUUGUGGGGUGCUCGAGUGGCGAACGGGUGAGUAACACGUGAGUAACCUGCCCUUGACUUUGGGAUAACUUCAGGAAACUGGGGCUAAUACCGGAUAGGAGCUCCUGCUGCAUGGUGGGGGUUGGAAAGUUUCGGCGGUCGGGGAUGGACUCGCGGCUUAUCAGCUUGUUGGUGGGGUAGUGGCUUACCAAGGCUUUGACGGGUAGCCGGCCUGAGAGGGUGACCGGCCACAUUGGGACUGAGAUACGGCCCAGACUCCUACGGGGGGCAGCAGUGGGGAAUAUUGCGCAAUGGGCGGAAGCCUGAUGCAGCAACGCCGCGUGCGGGAUGACGGCCUUCGGGUUGUAAACCGCUUUCGCCUGUGACGAAGCGUGAGUGACGGUAAUGGGUAAAGAAGCACCGGCUAACUACGUG
This 468-nucleotide ribosomal RNA is filed under the name uncultured bacterium. RNAcentral describes it as "partial 16S ribosomal RNA". It matches the Rfam family "Bacterial small subunit ribosomal RNA", at positions 28 to 507 of the family's 1533-position model. The record is from RNAcentral.